RNAcentral lists this long non-coding RNA (541 nucleotides) under Equus caballus (horse). RNAcentral describes it as "lncRNA (ENSECAG00000044667.1)". Lineage: Eukaryota; Metazoa; Chordata; Mammalia; Perissodactyla; Equidae. The record is from RNAcentral.
GAUAACUAGAGAAAGUCCCUGCCCUCGAGGCGGCCAGGCCGAGAAAACGCAAUGCUCGGAGCCAUCAGAGAGAGUUUGAAGAAGGAAGGCCCCCUAAAUCCUCCUCGAGGAGGUGGGUGAGACUCUGUGGAGGCACUGCUGACUUUUGUGUUGACUCUUGAAAGAGAAGUUUGUUGGAUGGAGCACAUGCUCCUGCCACUAUCAAACACAGGCCCAGCUGCCAGGGAUACAAGCUGGAACCUUGGGUGGAUGGAGGACGUUUCAAAUGUGGAGCCAGGUGCCAGAGUCUGCAGUCCUGGAAUGAUCAAAUCAAGCAUCGAAAGGCUGCCCACAAUGCAUGUGGAGAAAAGAUUUCAGAGACCUUCCAAGGACGUGUAAGAUAAGUCAAGGCAGCAUAAAUUGAAGAUGGAAAAACAAAGGUGGGCAGAACAUGGAGCCAAGAAUAAGGAUAGACAUGCAUAGCAUAACAACCUCUGCUCCCACGAAGGGUGGGCUCCAAGCUUUCCAGCAGCCAACAGGAAAGGGGAAACUUUGUUGUUAU